Molecule: ribosomal RNA, 253 nt
Filed under: uncultured bacterium
Lineage: Bacteria
Description: partial 16S ribosomal RNA
Rfam family: Bacterial small subunit ribosomal RNA
Source: RNAcentral
UACGUAGGGUGCAAGCGUUGCCCGGAUUUAUUGGGCGUAAAGGGCGCGUAGGCGGCUCGGCACGUCCGUUGUGAAAUCGCCCGGCUCAACUGGGCGGGGUCAGCGGAUACGGUCGAGCUUGAGCAAGCUAGGGGGCAAUGGAAUUCCCGGUGUAGUGGUGGAAUGCGUAGAUAUCGGGGGGAACACCAGUGGCGAAGGCGGUUGCCUGGGGCUUUGCUGACGCUGAUGCGCGAAAGCGUGGGGAGCGAUCCGG